Molecule: non-coding RNA, 73 nt
Organism: Paramuricea clavata
Lineage: Eukaryota; Metazoa; Cnidaria; Anthozoa; Malacalcyonacea; Plexauridae
Source: the annotation of a GenBank genome assembly
GCCUUUGUAGUUCAGUUGGUUAGAGCACUGCACCGGAAUCGCAGGGCCGUAGGUUCAAUUCCUACCAGAGGAC